This 860-nucleotide unclassified non-coding RNA is filed under the name Hevea brasiliensis (rubber tree). Lineage: Eukaryota; Viridiplantae; Streptophyta; Magnoliopsida; Malpighiales; Euphorbiaceae. The record is from RNAcentral.
CCCGAGAAAAAAGCUGACCGAUCGGCUUCUCGCGUCAAGUUAAAAAGAUUAUCGUUUGAUGAUGAGGAUCGCCAGCUCUUGAUUACUGCGGAACCUCCAGCGCCGGAGCCGGAGGUGAUUCCGGAGAUUAUUGAGGAGAGGGAUGUUGAUCGCAAUUUCGAUCGUCAGGUGUCCUUGCCGAGACUGUCCAGUGGGAGUAGCUAUGCGGGUAGCUUGUUCUCGGGGACUACAUUGGACGGGAACUUUUUGAGCUAUGUUAAGGACACUGCGACGACCUUCACGAGGCAGGAAGUGGUGCAGGAGGAGGAAGAGGAGGAGGAAGUGGUGGUGGUAGAGGAGGAGAAGGAGGAGAAGAAUGAUGAGAAGGCGGCGCAGAGGACACGAGAAACUUACCAUUUGCAGCUUGCUUUAGCUAAGAGGCUUAGUUAUCAAUCUGGCCUUGCUAGUGAGUUUGUGCUUUUACAGGAGGGUGGGCCUGAGUCCUUCGAUGCAGAAACCGUAUCUUAUCGCCUCUGGGUUAGUGGAUGCUUAUCAUACAGCGACAGAAUAUCGGAUGGAUUCUAUAAUAUUCUUGGGAUGAAUCCGUAUCUGUGGGUUAUGUGCAAUGAUGAAGAGGAAGGAAGACGAUUGCCCCCUUUAAUGUCCCUCAGAGAAAUUGACACCAGUGAGACAUCAAUGGAGGUGGUUCUCGUUGAUGGGCGUGGCGACUCACGCCUUAAGGAGUUAGAGGAUAAGGCGCAUGAGAUCUAUUGUGCUUCAGAAAAUACGUUGGUGUUAGUGGAGAAACUGGGAAAACUGGUUGCUAUUUGCAUGGGGGGAACUUUCCCGGUGGAGCAAGGUGAUCUUCAUAAACGCUGGAA